GAUGAACGCUAGCGGCAGGCCUAAUACAUGCAAGUCGAGGGGUAACAUUAGUACUUGUACUAGAUGACGACCGGCGCACGGGUGCGUAACGCGUAUGCAACCUACCCAUUACUGGGGGAUAGCCCGGGGAAACCCGGAUUAAUACCCCAUAGUAUUACCGAGUGGCAUCACUUGGUUCUUAAAGAUUUAUUGGUAAUGGAUGGGCAUGCGUACCAUUAGCUAGAUGGUGAGGUAACGGCUCACCAUGGCGACGAUGGUUAGGGGGCCUGAGAGGGUGAUCCCCCACACUGGUACUGAGAUACGGACCAG
Molecule: ribosomal RNA, 309 nt
Filed under: uncultured bacterium
Lineage: Bacteria
Description: bacterial SSU rRNA
Rfam family: Bacterial small subunit ribosomal RNA
Source: RNAcentral